AACGAACGCUGGCGGCAUGCCUAACACAUGCAAGUCGAACGAGAACUUCGGGUCUAGUGGCGCACGGGUGCGUAACGCGUGGGAACCUGCCCUUAGGUUCGGAAUAACUCCCCGAAAGGGGUGCUAAUACCGGGUAAUAUCUCCGGACAAAAGAUUUAUCGCCUUUGGAUGGGCCCGCGUUGGAUUAGCUAGUUGGUAGGGUAAAAGCCUACCAAGGCGACGAUCCAUAGCUGGUCUGAGAGGAUGAUCAGCCACACUGGGACUGAGACACGGCCCAGACUCCUACGGGAGGCAGCAGUGGGGAAUAUUGGACAAUGGGCGAAAGGCUGAUCCAGCAAUGCCGCGUGAGUGAUGAAGGCCUUAGGGUUGUAAAGCUCUUUUACCCGGGAUGAUAAUGACAGUACCGUGAGAAUAAGCUCCGGCUAACUCCGUG
This 433-nucleotide ribosomal RNA is filed under the name uncultured bacterium. RNAcentral describes it as "partial 16S ribosomal RNA". It matches the Rfam family "Bacterial small subunit ribosomal RNA", at positions 29 to 507 of the family's 1533-position model. The record is from RNAcentral.